This 69-nucleotide transfer RNA is filed under the name Araneus ventricosus. RNAcentral describes it as "tRNA-Arg". The record is from RNAcentral. Lineage: Eukaryota; Metazoa; Arthropoda; Arachnida; Araneae; Araneidae.
UCCCUGUAGCGCAGUGGAUGGCGCGUUGGACUUCUAAUCAAAGGUCCGCUUCGAAUCCGGCGGAUGGAG